RNAcentral lists this ribosomal RNA (152 nucleotides) under uncultured organism. RNAcentral's name for it is "partial 23S ribosomal RNA". It matches the Rfam family "Bacterial large subunit ribosomal RNA", at positions 2334 to 2484 of the family's 2925-position model. The record is from RNAcentral.
GAAACCAGCCGUAAGAGUGUAAAGGCAGAAGGGAGCUUGACUGCAAGACAGACAAGUCGAGCAGGGACGAAAGUCGGCCUUAGUGAUCCGACGGCACUGAGUGGCAGGGCCGUCGCUCAACGGAUAAAAGUUACUCUAGGGAUAACAGGCUG